This 362-nucleotide ribosomal RNA is filed under the name uncultured fungus. Its description in RNAcentral is "eukaryotic LSU rRNA". It matches the Rfam family "Eukaryotic large subunit ribosomal RNA", at positions 40 to 398 of the family's 3401-position model. Lineage: Eukaryota; Fungi. The record is from RNAcentral.
AUAUCAAUAAGCGGAGGAAAAGAAACCAACAGGGAUUACCUCAGUAACGGCGAGUGAAGCGGUAACAGCUCAAAUUUGAAAUCUGGCCCUUUCAGGGUCCGAGUUGUAAUUUGUAGAAGAUGUUUCGGGUGUGGCUCCAGUCUAAGUUCCUUGGAACAGGGCGUCAUAGAGGGUGAGAAUCCCGUAUGUGACUGGUUGCUUUCGCCCAUGUGAAACUCUUUCGACGAGUCGAGUUGUUUGGGAAUGCAGCUCUAAAUGGGUGGUAAAUUUCAUCUAAAGCUAAAUAUUGGCCAGAGACCGAUAGCGCACAAGUAGAGUGAUCGAAAGAUGAAAAGCACUUUGGAAAGAGAGUUAAACAGUAC